Molecule: ribosomal RNA, 933 nt
Filed under: Pseudogymnoascus pannorum
Lineage: Eukaryota; Fungi; Ascomycota; Leotiomycetes; Thelebolales; Thelebolaceae
Description: eukaryotic LSU rRNA
Rfam family: Eukaryotic large subunit ribosomal RNA (bases 305-933)
Source: RNAcentral
CCUCUCACACGCCACGGCGCCCACGCCUCUCUCGCGCCGCGCGGCUCACACGGCCGCGCGCGAGCCGGCGCCGGCACGCGCCGCACGCGCCCCGCGAGGCGCGCGGCGGCCGCUCCGCGCCGCCGCCGGUGCCACGCGAGCACGGCCUCACGCCACCGCGCGCGCCUGCCCUAGCGUGUUCUCCGUCCGGAAAUUAGCCUGCUCCCGCCUCCCCUCUCCUUGGAUGCCUCUUCGCUCGCUCGACAGUAGCUCCUCUGCGGGACUUCCUUAGCUUCCGCCCCCUUCCGCCUGCUGAGCCGAGUCUCUUCCUUGGUUCGCUCUUGGCCAAACUCCGCAAUUUUUGCAUAUCCAAUAGCGGAGGAAAAGAAACCAACAGGGAUUACCUCAGUAACGGCGAGUGAAGCGGUAACAGCUCAAAUUUGAAAUCUGGCCUCACGGUCCGAGUUGUAAUUUGUAGAGGAUGCUUCGAGCAUGGUCUGGCCUAAGUUCCUUGGAACAGGACGUCAUAGAGGGUGAGAAUCCCGUAUGCGGCCAGGUGCCUACGCUCAUGUGAAGCUCCUUCGACGAGUCGAGUUGUUUGGGAAUGCAGCUCAAAAUGGGUGGUAAAUUUCAUCUAAAGCUAAAUAUUGGCCAGAGACCGAUAGCGCACAAGUAGAGUGAUCGAAAGAUGAAAAGCACUUUGGAAAGAGAGUUAAACAGUACGUGAAAUUGUUGAAAGGGAAGCGCUUGCAACCAGACUUGCGCGCGGCCGAUCAUCCGGUGUUCUCACCGGUGCACUCGGCCGUGCUCAGGCCAGCAUCGGUUUUGGCGGCUGGAUAAAGGCCCUAGGAAUGUAGCUCCUCUCGGGGAGUGUUAUAGCCUAGGGUGCAAUGCAGCCUGCUGGGACCGAGGACCGCGCUCGGCUAGGUUGCUGCGAAAUGCCCAAAAUUUUUA